Molecule: transfer RNA, 88 nt
Filed under: Sphaerobacter thermophilus
Lineage: Bacteria; Pseudomonadati; Thermomicrobiota; Thermomicrobia; Sphaerobacterales; Sphaerobacteraceae
Also listed under: 4 other names
Description: tRNA-Leu
Rfam family: tRNA
About the family: Transfer RNA (tRNA) molecules are approximately 80 nucleotides in length.
Source: RNAcentral
GCCGAGGUGGCGGAAUAGGCAGACGCGCUAGCUUGAGGGGCUAGUGCCCGUUUAGGGCGUGGGGGUUCAAAUCCCUUCCUCGGCACCA